This 631-nucleotide unclassified non-coding RNA is filed under the name Bombus terrestris (buff-tailed bumblebee). RNAcentral describes it as "misc RNA ENSBTSG00005033408.1". The record is from RNAcentral. Lineage: Eukaryota; Metazoa; Arthropoda; Insecta; Hymenoptera; Apidae.
GCGACUCGCGAUAGAACAGAAUGAAUUUGUGUCGCGAUGAUGCUCCUUAGGAAAACUGUGCUUGGGUGUGUCUAAGGAUACGGAAUCAUCGGAUUCGUUAAGGAAAGCGUUAGUUCAGAGAGUGAGGGAAAUGGACGUCGCUGUUAAUUGGCUAAAUCGUGAGUUGGUGGUUGGAAAGAGAUGGCAACUGCCCUUGAGAGAAAGUUGCUAGCGAGGAGCGUCGUACGUGAGGAAAAGCAGAUUUCCGUAUGGGUGGUAUGUGUAGGGACUAUUGAGACAAAGACUAUCUGUUCCUUUAGAGAAUCUUAGCUGCAUGGAUCCUAAGAUUUAUAGCGGGUCCUUAGGCUCGCUGUAAAUAUUCGGAGAGAGUGUAUCGACAUCUGGCAAUCAUCUGUUCGCAAGGUAAAGUCCUUGUGUAGCGAGGCACGGGACAGAAACCGUUGGGAAGUUUGCUGUCGAGUGCCGCUACACUUUAUUUCCUAUUAGGUCGUGACCUGCUGCUUUCUUGGGGUUUAGGCUACUGAUUGCUUCUAUAAUCUCUGCAGAAGUGAAGGGUUCAAUAGGAGGGGACAUUUGGAAGGGAGUGUGCAGGUAUUCGGUAACGUCUGCAGCAGCUACGGAGGAAUGGGAU